This 450-nucleotide long non-coding RNA is filed under the name Prunus persica (peach). RNAcentral's name for it is "long non-coding RNA (PPER_LNC000151)". The record is from RNAcentral. Lineage: Eukaryota; Viridiplantae; Streptophyta; Magnoliopsida; Rosales; Rosaceae.
GAAAAUUGAGGCAAUAGUUUAUAAUUAAGCUUCUCGACUUUAAAUUGUUGGCGGUCAAGGCAUGCACAAGCUGAAAACCAUUCUUUUGCUAUAAAAUGCAAUGUCUCAAAGUGAAAAAAUAAAAUAAAAUAAAAUCUGUUUACGCGAAUGUUGGAAAUGGGAAGAGAUCAAAAUUCACAUGGGAGUUUUGUGCCAUGCCUUGUUCACCACCAAAUUUGUAGUCCCGCAUGGGUUGUGUCUCGAACAGAUAUACAUGUUCCAACAUAUAUCAGUAUGUCUAUUUAAACACCAUUAAUCCUCAUUCCAUAAAUAAUAUAGAAUUCGCAGGACAUAGCACUAAAAUGUUGUGUGCAUUUUCUGAGAGAUAAACACACAUAUUUCGCCAGAAAAAAAAUUUCUGAUAUGGGCGACAUUCUUUUUCAAGGACAUUGCAAUCCAGCAAGCCUCUCU